GAUGAACGCUGGCGGCGUGCCUAAUACAUGCAAGUCGAACGAACAGACGAGGAGCUUGCUCCUCUGACGUUAGCGGCGGACGGGUGAGUCACAUGUGUAUAACCUACCUAUAAGACUGGGAUACCUUCGGGAAACCGGAGCUAAUCCCGGAUAAUAUCUUGAACCGCAUGGUUCAAUCGUGAAAUUCGGUUUUGCUGUAACUUAUAGAUGGAUCCGCGCCGCAUUAGCUAGUUGUUAAGGUAACGGCUUACCAAGGCGACGAUGCGUAGCCGACCUGAGAGGGUGAUCGGCCACACGGGAACUGAGACGCGGUCCAGACUCCUACGGGAGGCAGCAGUAGGGAAUCUUCCGCAAUGGGCGAAAGCCUGACGGGGCAACGCCGCGUGAGUGAUGAAGGUCUUCGGAUCGUAAAACUCUGUUAUUAGGGAAGAACAAAUGUGUAAGUAACUAUGCACGUCUUGACGGUACCUAAUCAGAAAGCCACGGCUAACUACGUG
RNAcentral lists this ribosomal RNA (497 nucleotides) under uncultured bacterium. RNAcentral's name for it is "partial 16S ribosomal RNA". It matches the Rfam family "Bacterial small subunit ribosomal RNA", at positions 28 to 507 of the family's 1533-position model. The record is from RNAcentral.